RNAcentral lists this ribosomal RNA (255 nucleotides) under uncultured bacterium. Its description in RNAcentral is "partial 16S ribosomal RNA". It matches the Rfam family "Bacterial small subunit ribosomal RNA", at positions 524 to 777 of the family's 1533-position model. The record is from RNAcentral.
UACAGAGGGUGCGAGCGUUGUCCGGAAUCACUGGGCGUAAAGAGCGCGCAGGCGGUCGUACAAGUCGCGUGUGAAAGCCCCCCGGCUCAACUGGGGAGGGUCACGCGAUACUGAUCGACUCGAAGGCAGGAGAGGGUAGUGGAAUUCCCGGUGUAGUGGUGAAAUGCGUAGAUAUCGGGAGGAACACCAGUGGCGAAGGCGACUACCUGGCCUGUUCUUGACGCUGAGGCGCGAAAGCUAGGGGAGCAAACGGGG